Molecule: ribosomal RNA, 292 nt
Filed under: uncultured bacterium
Lineage: Bacteria
Description: partial 16S ribosomal RNA
Rfam family: Bacterial small subunit ribosomal RNA
Source: RNAcentral
GUGUCAGCAGCCGCGGUAAUACGGAGGGUGCAAGCGUUGUUCGGAAUUACUGGGCGUAAAGAGCGUGUAGGCGGCCGAUCAAGUCCGGUGUGAAAGCCCGGGGCUUACCCCCGGAAGUGCGCUGGAAACUGAUCGGCUCGAGUAUGGGAGAGGGAAGUGGAAUUCCUGGUGUAGCGGUGAAAUGCGUAGAUAUCAGGAGGAACACCGGCGGCGAAGGCGGCUUCCUGGACCAAUACUGACGCUGAGACGCGAAAGCGUGGGGAGCAAACAGGAUUAGAUACCCCCGUAGUCC